RNAcentral lists this unclassified non-coding RNA (220 nucleotides) under Hevea brasiliensis (rubber tree). Lineage: Eukaryota; Viridiplantae; Streptophyta; Magnoliopsida; Malpighiales; Euphorbiaceae. The record is from RNAcentral.
GGGCAAUAGGAACCUAGUGGGCAAGGUAUCAUGCAUGUAAUACCAUGAGGACAGAAAAAACCCUCACAACAAGUCUGACAGUUGCGAGAUCUUGCAGGAAUGUUAUGUGAAUUUUCAAGNNNNNNNUGACCAACGCUGCAAGCCCAUCCUGGCUCACAACCAGAAACCCAUGAGGUUAAAUUGCAGUUCUUGUUAGGUUUCAAAUAAUUGUCAUGUGUUG